RNAcentral lists this ribosomal RNA (468 nucleotides) under uncultured bacterium. RNAcentral describes it as "partial 16S ribosomal RNA". It matches the Rfam family "Bacterial small subunit ribosomal RNA", at positions 28 to 507 of the family's 1533-position model. The record is from RNAcentral.
GAUGAACGCUGGCGGCGUGCUUAACACAUGCAAGUCGAACGGAAAGGCCCAAGCUUGCUUGGGUACUCGAGUGGCGAACGGGUGAGUAACACGUGGGUGAUCUGCCCUGCACUUCGGGAUAAGCCUGGGAAACUGGGUCUAAUACCGGAUAGGACGAUGGUUUGGAUGCCAUUGUGGAAAGUUUUUUCGGUGUGGGAUGAGCUCGCGACCUAUCAGCUUGUUGGUGGGGUAAUGGCCUACCAAGGCGUCGACGGGUAGCCGGCCUGAGAGGGUGUACGGCCACAGUGGGACUGAGAUACGGCCCAGACUCCUACGGGAGGCAGCAGUGGGGAAUAUUGCACAAUGGGCGCAAGCCUGAUGCAGCGACGCCGCGUGGGGGAUGACGGCCUUCGGGUUGUAAACUCCUUUCGCUAGGGACGAAGCGUUUUUGUGACGGUACCUGGAGAAGAAGCACCGGCUAACUACGUG